RNAcentral lists this unclassified non-coding RNA (145 nucleotides) under soil metagenome. RNAcentral describes it as "partial internal transcribed spacer 1". The record is from RNAcentral.
CCGAGUUUACAACUCCCAAACCCUGUGAACAUACCACUUGUUGCCUCGGCGGAUCAGCCCGCUCCCGGUAAAACGGGACGGCCCGCCAGAGACCCCUAAACUCUGUUUCUAUAUGUAACUUCUGAGUAAAACCAUAAAUAAAUCA